UAUUGGACAAUGGGCGCAAGCCUGAUCCAGCAAUGCCGCGUGAGUGAAGAAGGCCUUAGGGUUGUAAAGCUCUUUUGCCCGGGAAGAUAAUGACGGUACCGGGAGAAUAAGCCCCGGCUAACUCCGUGCCAGCAGCCGCGGUAAUACGGAGGGGGCUAGCGUUGUUCGGAAUUACUGGGCGUAAAGCGUACGUAGGCGGAUCUGCAAGUUGGGGGUGAAAUCCCGGGGCUUAACCCCGGAAUUGCCCUCAAAACUGUGGAUCUUGAGACCGAGAGAGGUAAGGGGAAUUCCGAGUGUAGAGGUGAAAUUCGUAGAUAUUCGGAAGAACACCAGUGGCGAAGGCGCCUUACUGGCUCGGACCUGACGCUGAGGUACGAAAGCGGGGGGAGCAAACAGG
RNAcentral lists this ribosomal RNA (397 nucleotides) under uncultured bacterium. RNAcentral's name for it is "bacterial SSU rRNA". It matches the Rfam family "Bacterial small subunit ribosomal RNA", at positions 362 to 776 of the family's 1533-position model. The record is from RNAcentral.